RNAcentral lists this transfer RNA (65 nucleotides) under Loudetiopsis kerstingii. RNAcentral describes it as "tRNA-Thr". It matches the Rfam family "tRNA", at positions 5 to 66 of the family's 71-position model. Rfam says of the family: Transfer RNA (tRNA) molecules are approximately 80 nucleotides in length. Their secondary structure includes four short double-helical elements and three loops (D, anti-codon, and T loops). Further hydrogen bonds mediate the characteristic L-shaped molecular structure. tRNAs have two regions of fundamental functional importance: the anti-codon, which is responsible for specific mRNA codon recognition, and the 3' end, to which the tRNAs corresponding amino acid is attached (by aminoacyl-tRNA synthetases). tRNAs cope with the degeneracy of the genetic code in two manners: having more than one tRNA (with a specific anti-codon) for a particular amino acid; and 'wobble' base-pairing, i.e. permitting non-standard base-pairing at the 3rd anti-codon position. Lineage: Eukaryota; Viridiplantae; Streptophyta; Magnoliopsida; Poales; Poaceae. The record is from RNAcentral.
CUUUUCACUUAGUGGUAAAGCAAUGACUUGGUAAGACAGAAGUCGUCGGUUCGAAUCCGGUAAAC